This 253-nucleotide ribosomal RNA is filed under the name uncultured bacterium. RNAcentral describes it as "partial 16S ribosomal RNA". It matches the Rfam family "Bacterial small subunit ribosomal RNA", at positions 524 to 776 of the family's 1533-position model. The record is from RNAcentral.
GACGGAGGAUGCAAGUGUUAUCCGGAAUCACUGGGCGUAAAGCGUCUGCAGGUGGUUUCCUAAGUCCACUGUUAAACCUUGAGACUCAACCUCAAAUCUGCAUUGGAAACUAGGAGACUUGAGUAUAGUAGGGGUAGAGGGAAUUUCCAGUGGAGCGGUGAAAUGCGUAGAUAUUGGAAAGAACACCGAUGGCGAAGGCACUCUACUGGGCUAUUACUGACACUCAGAGACGAAAGCUAGGGGAGCAAAUGGG